Molecule: RNA transcript, 1183 nt
Organism: Artibeus jamaicensis (Jamaican fruit-eating bat)
Lineage: Eukaryota; Metazoa; Chordata; Mammalia; Chiroptera; Phyllostomidae
Gene: TRPT1
Gene name: tRNA phosphotransferase 1
Exons: 7
Source: RefSeq, a predicted model, not a curated record
GCGUAGGCAGCCGCCUUGCUGUAGGAGGCAGUGAGCCUAGCGGUCUGUUCUCCCUGUUCCUGUUCGUUCUGCCACGGCCGCCGGAUCAGCCGCCCGCUUAGUCUGGGCGCCGGCACCUCCUCCUCAGGCCCGCCUCCCGGGGCGACCUGUGAGCCUGCAGUGCGGGGGUCUCGGCUUUGCUGGACUCCGUGGCUGACAGUGUCACCUUGGGCAAGUCUUGCCUGCGGGCCUCAGUGUUCCUUUCUGCACCAGGGAGUUGGGGGUGGGAGGUGAAUUUAACGAUCUGAGUACCCCCCUCCCAGCUCUCACCUCUUGAGGCUUUUUGACUUUCUGGGCAGGGGUGGGGUCAUGAGACGGCCCUUCACAGUCCCCCACAGGCCACUGCUUCCCACAGGUUUUGAUCAUGAACUCUGGAGAGAAGAAGCAGGAAGCAGCAGGGCCCAGGGGUAGAAGGGCUCACAGACCCCGGGAACAGGACCGAGAUGUCCAGCUGUCCAAGGCGCUGUCCUAUGCCCUGCGCCACGGGGCCCUGAAGCUGGGGCUUCCCAUGGGGCCUGGCGGCUUCGUGCCCCUGGGCGCCCUCCUGCAGCUGCCCCAGUUCCGCAGCUUCUCAGCUGAAGACGUGCAGCGCGUGGUGGACACCAAUGGGAAGCAGCGGUUUGCCCUGCAGCCGGGGGACCCCAGCACGGGCCCUCUCAUCCGGGCCAAUCAGGGUCACUCCCUGCAGGUACCUGAGUUGGAGCUGAUGCCCCUGGAGACCCCGCGGGACCUGCCCCUGAUACUUGUCCAUGGCACAUUCUGGAAGUAUUGGCCCUCCAUCCUGCUCAAGGGCCUGUCCUGCCAGAGAAGGACGCACAUCCACCUGGCCACAGGACUGCCUGGGGACCCUGGUGUCAUCAGUGACCCCAGCUCCAGGUGUCCCUGCAGGCAUGCGGCUGAACUGCGACGUGGCUGUGUUCAUCAAUGGGCCCCUGGCCCUGGCAGAUGGCAUCCCCUUCUUCCGCUCUGCCAAUGGGGUGAUCCUGACUCCAGGGAAUGCUGAUGGCUUCCUGCUUCCCAAGUACUUCAAGGAGGCUCUGCAGCUACGCCCUACCCGAAAACCCCUCUCCUUGGCUGGUACUGAAGAGACACAGUGUCAGAGCACUCCCAAGCACAGCUCCAGGGCAAGGAGGAUGAUCCAACA